This 462-nucleotide unclassified non-coding RNA is filed under the name Ampullaceana balthica. Its description in RNAcentral is "sequence contains ITS1, 5.8S rRNA gene, ITS2". Lineage: Eukaryota; Metazoa; Mollusca; Gastropoda; Lymnaeidae. The record is from RNAcentral.
UUUCGUCUGGGGGAGGGUCGGGUAGGGUCAAAACAAUCGCGUCGCUUGCUCUUGCGACGCGCUCUGGACCUUCGCGGCCGUAAAAUCCGGCGCUCACCGAAUCGCUCGCUCGGCGGUUUGCGUGUUGCGCCCGGUGGCCCCGUGGUCUUAAGCACAAGCCGCGCCGUUGUCCGUGUUCGUCUCGGGACGUCCGCGACGCCGCCUUGCUYUCGGCGGCGGCCAAAUUUCCUCUCCGUCACCGCUAUGCGGGACCCGGCUCGCUCUCGCUAACGGGCCCGCUUAUAACCAGCUUCAGGGUGACGGGCGGAGGAGAGAAGCUUACGCUGACGCUCGAUCGACGAGUCGGCGCCCGUACGAAAAAAAUUGGAAAAAAAAUAACCGUGCGUUGCGCGUUAUUUUUUUUUUCCUUUCUUUCCGACCUCAGAUCGGACGAGAUUACCCCCUGAAUUUAAGCAUAGAAAA